Molecule: ribosomal RNA, 468 nt
Filed under: uncultured bacterium
Lineage: Bacteria
Description: partial 16S ribosomal RNA
Rfam family: Bacterial small subunit ribosomal RNA
Source: RNAcentral
GACGAACGCUGGCGGCGUGCUUAAUACAUGCAAGUCGAACGGAAAGGCACUGCCUUUGUGCUGUGCUCGAGUGGCGAACGGGUGAGUAACACGUGAGUAACCUGCCCUUGACUUUGGGAUAACUUCUGGAAACUGUAGCUAAUACCGGAUAGGAGCUCAUGUUGCAUGGUAGCGGCUGGAAAGUUUCGGCGGCAGGGGUAGGACUCGCGGCUUCGCAGUUUGUUGGUGUGGUUGUGGCGUACCAAGGCGUUGACGGGUAGCCGGACUGAGCGGGUGACCGGCCACAGUGGGACUGAGAUGCGGCCCAGACGCCUACGGGAGGCAGAAGUGGGAAAUAUAGCGCGAUGGGCGGAAGCCGGAAGCAGCAACGCCGCGUGCGGGAGGACGGCCGUCGGGGUGUAAACCGCGUUCGCCUGGGACGAAGCGUGAGUGACGGUAAUGUGUAAAGAAGCACCGGCUAACUACGUG